UGUGUCAAAGUUCUAGUACCAUU
This 23-nucleotide non-coding RNA is filed under the name Arabidopsis thaliana (thale cress). Lineage: Eukaryota; Viridiplantae; Streptophyta; Magnoliopsida; Brassicales; Brassicaceae. The record is from RNAcentral.